GGACUACCCGGGUAUCUAAUCCUGUUCGCUCCCCACGCUUUCGCUCCUCAGCGUCAGGUCAGGCCCAGAGAACCGCCUUCGCCACCGGUGUUCCUCCCGAUAUCUGCGCAUUUCACCGCUACACCGGGAAUUCCAUUCUCCCCUACCUGCCUCUAGUCUGCCCGUAUCCACUGCAAGCCCAGGGUUAAGCCCUGGGUUUUCACAGCGGACGUAACAGACCGCCUACGAGCUCUUUACGCCCAAUAAUUCCGGACAACGCUUGCGCCCUACGUAUUACCGCGGCUGCUGGCAC
This 292-nucleotide ribosomal RNA is filed under the name uncultured bacterium. Its description in RNAcentral is "partial 16S ribosomal RNA". The record is from RNAcentral.